RNAcentral lists this ribosomal RNA (494 nucleotides) under uncultured bacterium. Its description in RNAcentral is "partial 16S ribosomal RNA". It matches the Rfam family "Bacterial small subunit ribosomal RNA", at positions 28 to 506 of the family's 1533-position model. The record is from RNAcentral.
GAUGAACGCUGGCGGCGUGCCUAACACAUGCAAGUAGAACGCUGAAGGAGGAGCUUGCUCUUCUGGAUGAGUUGCGAACGGGUGAGUAACGCGUAGGUAACCUGCCUGGUAGCGGGGGAUAACUAUUGGAAACGAUAGCUAAUACCGCAUGACAACAGUUAUUGCAUGAUAACUGUUUAAAAGGGGCAACUGCUCCACUACCAGAUGGACCUGCGUUGUAUUAGCUAGUUGGUGAGGUAACGGCUCACCAAGGCGACGAUACAUAGCCGACCUGAGAGGGUGAUAGGCCACACUGGAACUGAGACACGGCCCAGACUCCUACGGGAGGCAGCAGUAGGGAAUCUUCGGCAAUGGACGGAAGUCUGACCGAGCAACGCCGCGUGAGUGAAGAAGGUGUUCGGAUCGUAAAGCUCUGUUGUAAGAGAAGAACGAGUGUGAGAGUGGAAGGUGCACACUGUGACGGUAUCUUACCAGAAAGGGACGGCUAACUACGU